GAAAGGGAGGGGAAAAGAAGACAAAAAUCAAUUCCAAUUGAUCAAAUUUGAAUCAAAUCAAUAUGGAUCAACACCAAAUAGAUGAAAAAUGAAAAUAACAAGUCAAGAAGUCAACAAUAUUUUUUUGGUACUUUUUGAAUUAAAAUAAAAUACAAUAAAAAAUAACAAAUAAAGUGAACCUUAAAUUCAAUUCAAAACAAC
RNAcentral lists this long non-coding RNA (201 nucleotides) under Lathyrus oleraceus (garden pea). RNAcentral describes it as "Pisum sativum (pea) long non-coding RNA (PSAT_LNC008321)". Lineage: Eukaryota; Viridiplantae; Streptophyta; Magnoliopsida; Fabales; Fabaceae. The record is from RNAcentral.